UGGACAAAUUAUUGUAUUCGACUAUAUUCACGGCGUGAAACAGGGGAUUACACUGUUUUUAAACGGAAAGUGAAUCAAUUAACAUGAUAGACUCCU
This is a microRNA precursor of Nicotiana attenuata, 96 nucleotides long. It matches the Rfam family "MIR6152 microRNA precursor family". Lineage: Eukaryota; Viridiplantae; Streptophyta; Magnoliopsida; Solanales; Solanaceae. The record is from Rfam.